RNAcentral lists this long non-coding RNA (1524 nucleotides) under Equus asinus (donkey). Its description in RNAcentral is "lncRNA (ENSEASG00005033194.1)". The record is from RNAcentral. Lineage: Eukaryota; Metazoa; Chordata; Mammalia; Perissodactyla; Equidae.
CCCUCUAGAAGAUGGCUUCCCUUAUGUUAACCGUGGGCUAUAUAUUUCUCUUCGCUUUCAGGCGACCGACACUAACACGUGCAGGGGCUGGGGGGGGGGGGGGGGGGCGGCCAGGAGCUCCUCUGAGCGCCGGUUCUGUCGCUCCCUGUCUGUCCCGUGAGCUGUGGGCGGGGAGGAUGCUGCGGUGGCUGUAGCUGGGAUGGGACCGUCCGCAUUCAGGGCAGGGGCGCAAAAUGAGCCCCAGGCAGCGGCGGGCUGGCGCAGCGGGGGCGCGGGGUGCGGAGCCCAGCUGACCAUUCGGGCAGCACGUGAGGGCGGCCGACAGUAAUCAGGCAGCUUCUGAGAUGUGAGUCGAGUCCCUAUCGCGUGGAAUUCUCCAGCCAGAGGAAGGAGAGAAGACAGGAGUGGGGCGGGAGGAAGUAGGGGCUGGCCCUGAUGCGGGGAGGGGGCUUGUGCAGGUCCAGACGGCUUCAGCGGCAGGAGGGUCGGGCCUUGGGACUUGCUAGUUAGAAGAGGGAGGCAGGGGCUAUUGGGGAGGGCUCCAGGACGCUGGGGAAUCAGAGCAGCCACUUAGCCCUGAACGAGUUGUUUACAGCUUGGCUGGCUACAACAUAGGACAGUGAUUUUUUAAGGGGAGUCCUGAAGCCAGUUUGGGUGGCUUGUGGCAGCGGGAGCCCCUCAAAAGGCGUUUGGGGGUCGGUAGAGGACGCAUAUGAAGAAAGAAGGGUGUUUGGAAACAGGCUUUUGAGUCUGCGUGCACCUGCUGGGCCGUGGGUGUUGUGAGAUGCUGCCGGCAGGCCCCAGAGAGCGGCAGCUUCUGGGGGAUGGGUCCCCAGAACAGCAGGAGGACCAGGCCUGCGGAUAAUCAAGGAGCUUGCUGACAGCCCUCCGCCUGACUAAGCAUCUCACAGGAGCGUUGAGAAGCUACAGUGACCGAUCUAAGCUUCACAUGUCAUAAGAAAUAUGAAAGACAAUUGCCCCUGCACAGAGGACUCUGAACUUCAGCCCCCAAGGCCACAUUCCCCCUCCCUGUCUGAUUCUCACAGUGUGGUUUGGAAAAAUGCUUAGAACUGCAUGUAGGCAAACUAAUCUGCAACCAGUAGAAAGGAAUAACUCGUUAGCAGAAAAUUUAUGUCCUCUGCCCAAACUGUUCCUUCUGUCCCAGAUAAAGAAGGAACUGAGGUUUUCUCAGAUUCCUCAGGAAUGUUGCAUCCAGCAGAUCCGCUGUGGAGAGGUGCCCGACUUUCUGCCGUCAUCCAUCACCUGACACUCCUGACACUCGCCCCCCCUCCCCCCCCAUCUGGCUUAUAUAAGUCGUUUCCAAAUCACAUCCCUUUAAGAUGGGUUUUUUAGGAUGAUAGUCCACCAUCUUCUGAUAUGCUAGCUUAUCGCUUAUUAAAGUUUUUUCUCUACCACCGCCUGCUUGGCUGUUUAUCUUGCGGCAAGCAGAUCGAGCCCUUACUUGGUAUCAUUUCCAGCUUUUGAAGUAUAAAUGACCAAUAAAAAUUGUAUAUAUUUAAAGUC